This 1306-nucleotide long non-coding RNA is filed under the name Helianthus annuus (common sunflower). Lineage: Eukaryota; Viridiplantae; Streptophyta; Magnoliopsida; Asterales; Asteraceae. The record is from RNAcentral.
CUGAGUUUAGUUUUCGGUUUUCGACCAACACUCACCGCCCCAUCGGGGAUCCCAGCAUUUAUUUGAAUACUCGAUUAGUGGGAAAAAGGCAAAUCCGUUAUAUUCAGUCAGCUCACUCCGAUAAUCAAAAGCCUCUGGAUGUUCAAUCGCUACACCAUGCCUUACUGGGAGGAAAUAAAGGGUGUCUUGUGUGCAAGAAAAAGAUGGCAACUUCUCCCAAAACACUUUCUGGAUUCUGCCCUGCCCCAUUUAGAAAUCUUUUGGAAUAUGUUGUUAAUUUGAAGUUUGAUGAGGAGCCUACGUAUGCAAAAAUUUCCAUUUGAUCGUCUGAAAGUUCUAAUCGUGUGACGAGGAGCCUAAUCAUUUAGGUUUCGUCGAAUGCUAAUGGUCACACAUUCUUUGGUACCCACAAAGUUUAUUACCUCCUAAAGUCAUAAUUGCAUUAACUUUAUCUUCAAAAGGGGAAGGUCAAACUGAUUUCUUGACCAAACGUCAACUGGCAUGGGAGACUUCAUUUUGUAGCCUUAAUUUCAUGUUAAAGAAGAACAUUUGUUACUUAUUUUAUGGUUCACGAAGAGAACUCACAUCAUAGUACUUUGGCUGUUUGUUUGAAGCCGUGAAAAUGAAGCCCUUUAAUGGAAGGUAGAUGUCGAGACCAAUGAGGUUUAUGCUCAAAUGACGUUGCCACUACGGAGCUUGGAAGAACAAAAAGAAGCAUUUCUUCCGAUAGAUUUGGAUGCCCCGGGCAAACAACGUACAAAUUAUUUUUGUUAAAUAUUGACUGCAAGUGACGCUAGCACUCACAGUCGAAUUUAGUUCACCGUCACUCAGCUGAGAAAGUGUCUCCUCCACUAUUAAGCUAGAACAUAUCCCAAAGAAAGUAGCAUAAAGUUGGUGCAUUUCUUCCACUCCCCCACUUACACACCUAAUUCUGGGUAUGGGUAUCAACCAUUUCUUAAUAUUAUACAAGACAGUGAUUUGGAGCUUGAGUGUCAAGAGGAUAUUUAGCAUACUUAAGGACCACCCGAUUAGCAUGGAGAAGCUAGAGUUAUUUUCCGGGUCAACACUCAACCCAUUAAAAGAGAAGUCGCAGCUUAUGUUGGGUUAGAGGGGAAGGAAGUUAUGAGCAACAGUUAUCUCUAUUUUCCACUUUACUAUUUAGACUAGACUAUCGUUGUUUUGUUCUUUGUCUUUGAAAAACUUAGUAUUAGUUUCUUGUAUUUGGAUAUUAGCCCAUCUCAAGUAGGCCUAUUAUCAGUCGUUUUAAUUUUAAUCAAGCCUAUUUCAAGUUCUUAUCAGAGUGAGA